This 320-nucleotide ribosomal RNA is filed under the name Colopea cf. virgata NP005. RNAcentral describes it as "partial 12S ribosomal RNA". The record is from RNAcentral. Lineage: Eukaryota; Metazoa; Arthropoda; Arachnida; Araneae; Stenochilidae.
AAGUAAUAAAACCUUAUAACUAAAACUAAUAUAGUUUGGCGGCAUUUCAUCUAAUUAGAGGAACUUGUUUUUUAAUCGAUAAUCCCCGUUAAUUUUCACUAAUUUUAAUAGCCUAUAUACCGCCAUUUAAAUGAAUUAACUUAAAAGCAACAUUCAAAAUACAAUUCUAACAAAUUAGGUCAAGGUGUAGCCAACAAAUUAGCUAAAAUGAGUUACAUUAAAAACAAUUUCAAGGACUAAUAAACCAAAAUUUAUUAUAAAUCAGGAUUUAACCGUAUUAAUCAAAUAAUAAUUUAUUUUGAACUAGAUAAUAAAUGUGU